AAUGAACGCUGGCGGUAGGCCUAACACAUGCAAGUCGAACGGCAGCACAGUAAGAGCUUGCUCUUACGGGUGGCGAGUGGCGGACGGGUGAGGAAUACAUCGGAAUCUACUUUUUCGUGGGGGAUAACGUAGGGAAACUUACGCUAAUACCGCAUACGACCUACGGGUGAAAGCAGGGGAUCUUCGGACCUUGCGCGAUUGAAUGAGCCGAUGUCGGAUUAGCUAGUUGGCGAGGUAAAGGCCCACCAAGGCGACGAUCCGUAGCUGGUCUGAGAGGAUGAUCAGCCACACUGGAACUGAGACACGGUCCAGACUCCUACGGGAGGCAGCAGUGGGGAAUAUUGGACAAUGGGCGCAAGCCUGAUCCAGCCAUACCGCGUGGGUGAAGAAGGCCUUCGGGUUGUAAAGCCCUUUUGUUGGGAAAGAAAAGCAGCAGGUUAAUACCCCGCUGUUCUGACGGUACCCAAAGAAUAAGCACCGGCUAACUUCGUG
This 492-nucleotide ribosomal RNA is filed under the name uncultured bacterium. RNAcentral describes it as "partial 16S ribosomal RNA". It matches the Rfam family "Bacterial small subunit ribosomal RNA", at positions 29 to 507 of the family's 1533-position model. The record is from RNAcentral.